GAUUUGGGGUUCUUAGUUUUGUGGUCCGAAAGCUUUAUUUAUUUAUUUAUUUAUUUAUUUAUUUAUUUCACUUAUUGCAAAGUAUUUCUAUCUCUCCUUCCAUCCAAAGGUGUCCGUGUGGGUCACAUAUGCUUUCAGAUAAAUGAGACAUAGUUUAAACAGUACCCUAGUGCCAGCCUCGCACAGAAUGCUGGGAGUUGUAAUUCAGAAACAUCUGGAGGUGCAUCCUGCCUUUAUGGUGGCUGGAAUAUCACCUCCUCCUAUGGGGCAAAAAACCCAAAAACAGUACCUUCCGCAUUAGAGUGGCACAUCUUCACAGAAUGGACAUAUUUUCAAAUAGUAAGGACUUCUCAAAUAUUUAAUAUAAAAGCAUUUAAAUUUCAUAAAAAUUAGUUUCAAAGGAAUUCCCAUACUGAACAGAGAAAAGGCUAAGAUGUAACACCUAAGGGUAACAUUUCCNGAUGUGUCUGCACUGUACCUGUUGAUAAAUAAUUUCAGCUCAGCUGUGCUUCCAUUAAGAACGUUUGAAGUUUUUGAAUUUGUUUCUACCACUCUGGAAUAGUAGUAAACAGCAAACGUUCAGAAAAAGACUCUUGGCGUGUGUGCCCUCCGUGCUGACCCAUAAUGUAUCUUCUGCUGUUGCCAAAUCUAUUAACUGUUGAAUUUGAAAAGCGUGAUAAUACUUGCUGAUGUCUGACAGACUUCAGUCUCUCCUCUGGGUUUUCCUCUGUAGCUGAGGGAAGGGGAGUCUUGGCAUUUUACUUUGAAAACCAAAGUUGCUUAAAACUUUUCUCCAGGACUCUCGAGUCUGCACUGGAAUAUACCAAGGGGAAACAUGGCUCAGAAAACAACGCGCUCCGCUAUGAACACCGAGCUCUCAAUAGGAUAUUUGGCUUUUUAAGUUCAUUGCUGGAUUGUACUUUUCCCUGGAGAACUGGUGUGCAGGCAUUGUUCUUGUUUCCAGUGCCUCUGUAUGGGCCUGAUCAGGCUUGGCUUCCAUACUGGCAGUAUUUAUUAUGAAUGCAAACCUCUGGAGGAUGCAGAGCAUAGAGCCACUGUGAUGUGUCUCAGGACAUGGAUGAAUCUGUUUGAAGGACCAAAAUGAAGCACCUCCAUUUUGUUUUCAGUGUGCAGUAUUCACUGCUUUGCCCCGUCUUCCUCACAACGGGUCUUGUCAGGUCCUGGAACUUGCAGUGACACUUUUUUUGAGGGUAUUGUUGACAUUUCUCAUCCUUUUUAACACAGCUGUUUUUG
RNAcentral lists this long non-coding RNA (1254 nucleotides) under Salvator merianae (Argentine black and white tegu). RNAcentral's name for it is "lncRNA (ENSSMRG00000017746.1)". Lineage: Eukaryota; Metazoa; Chordata; Lepidosauria; Squamata; Teiidae. The record is from RNAcentral.